Molecule: long non-coding RNA, 1229 nt
Organism: Pomacea canaliculata
Lineage: Eukaryota; Metazoa; Mollusca; Gastropoda; Architaenioglossa; Ampullariidae
Exons: 4
Source: RefSeq, a predicted model, not a curated record
UUUAGUUUCAUUAUUUUCAUAGCUUGGCGACGCUUAGCUCCAACAAGCAAAUUAUUAAAUAAUACAUUAAAUGGCAUAGUAAGAAUCAUGUGGAAAUCAACUACACCUUUAUACAUUUUUAUAUUCAUAGUCGUGGCGAUGUUAAUUGAUUGCUCACAACAAGAAACAUGUGCAGUUUUGCAUUUUUACAACAUGGACCAAGAAACCAUUAAUGUCUUUGAAGACAAAUUUGCGAAAGUGACAUUUGGGAUAAAUGUGUCAGCGACUUGUGAUCCAACUAAUCAGUCCUAUCAAAUAGCAGUAAACACGAGAACAAACUCUGGCAGCCAGGAAUAUGAUGGAACUAUUGUCUUCUGGAAAGACACGUGCACUGGCACAUUAGAUAAAUUUGUGAGAUGCAUCAGUCAGGCAGGUCCAGCAGAGCUCUACAGGAGAUUUAACCGAUCUCACGUGGCCAUCGAGUGGAAAUGGAGGGUGAGAGAUGUUAAGUCUGGACAGUUUGAGACCACGCAAAAGGAACUGAAGCUUAGGGUUUCUUACCCACCGCGAGUCACGAGUCUGACUGUGGAUGGACAUGAAACUGGCGGAAGUUUUCCUCCUUAGCGAGGGUCAAGAAGUCAACAUCUUUUGUUUGUUUGACAAAGGCAAUCCUCCGCAAAACUUCUCCUUGCUUGAUGAAACCGGAAACCGACUAAACGCUGUUAGAGAUGAACGACAUCUCAACUACUCCGUCAGAGUCCAGUGCAAAGACCACUGGCCAACCAUCCAAUGUGUAGGAAACAACUCGGAGCAGAACAAAUCUGUGUCCUUCAUGGUCAAGUGUCGCCCUCAGUUCAUUUCGAAGGCCCAAAGGUCGUGGAAGGCGCAAAAUAUGAUAGCUGGAUAUUUAAUAUAAAAGCUCACACACGAGAAAUAAAGAAAUGCUUCUUGACAUGUUUGUCGCUUGGAGAAAAUUCAAACACAGAAGUGAACUGCGACGUAACUGGUGACCCACCAGAACUACUGUUAAUUAUUUCCCUUGAUAAGCAGGAGAGCGCCAAGGGAGGCCAAUGGACACUAAUACUACAUAAUGAAAUGGGUUCUCAGACACAUUACUUUUCAACAUCGCCUCACGUGACAUCACACCCGCAAGUAAGUAUUGUACACCAUAACUCCCUUAAUUAAAUAAAGGUUUUAGGUAUUGCUAAAAUAAAGUAAUAGCACAGAAACUCAAAUUUAUCUGUUUAUGA